This is a long non-coding RNA of Rosa rugosa (rugosa rose), 861 nucleotides long. RefSeq lists it as uncharacterized. The transcript is spliced from 3 exons. Lineage: Eukaryota; Viridiplantae; Streptophyta; Magnoliopsida; Rosales; Rosaceae. The record is from RefSeq and is a predicted model, not a curated record.
CUCUCUCUGGUUUCAUAUAGAAGACGACGAUGAUUCAACCACCUACCACCCUCCUCCAGCCGCCCCUACGCUGCCAUCAUCAUCGACUCUCCCUCCCACACAGACCACAAAAACCCUGGCGCCCCAACCCGAUCUGCAAACUCCACAACCCAUCUCUCCACAAAGGAUCUGGAAUUAGUAAUUGCAAAAAUUGCAGAUUUGGCGAACCCGGCACUCCUUCCUUUCUCAUCGCCAAAUUCACAGCUUCAUUCUUCUUCUAUUGUGUUAUUGUUCAUUCUUGGAUGUGCUAUAACUGGAGGAUGGUGAAAUAGAUCGGAAAAUAGUACGGGAUAGGAAAUAUGUUGUUUAUAUUUCUCUCUCUUUGAUGGUUGUGUGAAAUGGAUUAUGAUUUGCAUGAAAACAAUAACAGAGGCUGUUAGGAUUUGGCCUAAUGGGAUACUGAAAUGAAUUAGAUGCUUUCUCUUUCCAUAAUUACCUUGCAUAUAUGAUGAACUAACUAAAAUAAUGUUGAAAAAGAUGGGACCUUGGCAAGAAUGUUGAAGCCCAGAAAUCUGGGACUUCGGCGAAGGGAAGAUAACAAUGGGGAGUAGUAGAUGGCAGUGAAAGGAACAUAAAGGGUCAAGCCUUGAAGAAACACAGUGAGUUCGCCAUUCACAAAGGGCUUUAGCAACAGCCAACGCUCAAUGAACGCCAUGUCGUAUUUUGGCUUGGUCUUCUUCUUCUGGUCUAUGAUGAAGCUCAGAUGAUCUGAUCCAAGGGAGGUGAGAAGCUGGGAGAGAAAUAGAGGGAGGAAGAGAAUUUUAAUUUUAAUUUUUGAGAUUAUAUUAUUUGGGUUUAUUAUUUGUUAAUUUUUAAUUUUGA